UGCUGAGGUAGCUCAGUUGGUAGAGCACAGGUCUGAAAAACCUGGUGUCGACAGUUCGAUUCUGUCCCUCAGCAU
RNAcentral lists this transfer RNA (75 nucleotides) under Endomicrobiia bacterium. Its description in RNAcentral is "tRNA-Phe". It matches the Rfam family "tRNA". Rfam says of the family: Transfer RNA (tRNA) molecules are approximately 80 nucleotides in length. Their secondary structure includes four short double-helical elements and three loops (D, anti-codon, and T loops). The record is from RNAcentral. Lineage: Bacteria; Pseudomonadati; Elusimicrobiota; Endomicrobiia.